This 262-nucleotide long non-coding RNA is filed under the name Capsicum annuum. RNAcentral's name for it is "long non-coding RNA (CANN_LNC020381)". The record is from RNAcentral. Lineage: Eukaryota; Viridiplantae; Streptophyta; Magnoliopsida; Solanales; Solanaceae.
AUUUAUCGUCAUGGCAUGACUUUAAAUCUCACGGCGGGUCCUCAAACCCCUCAUUUUUCACUAUCUCAUUUUCAACAUCCACCAUGGAUACUACUUAAAGCUCUACAGUUUACUUCUUUGACUUUUAAAUUUUGAAUGAUACCUCAUCUUGUUGCACCCAAAAUUUAUUUCUCGCAACUCUAGAUCAAUAAUGGCGCUCCCAGUGGCCAAGAAAGGAUGACCAAGAAUGAUAGGAACCUCUUGGUCCAUCUCACAAUCCAAU